RNAcentral lists this ribosomal RNA (445 nucleotides) under uncultured bacterium. Its description in RNAcentral is "bacterial SSU rRNA". It matches the Rfam family "Bacterial small subunit ribosomal RNA", at positions 354 to 796 of the family's 1533-position model. The record is from RNAcentral.
GUAAGGAAUAUUGGACAAUGGGGGCAACCCUGAUCCAGCCAUGCCGCGUGCAGGAAGAAGGACCUAUGGUCUGUAAACUGCUUUUAUACAAGAGAAAACCUCACUACGUGUAGUGAGCUGAUAGUAUUGUAAGAAUAAGCAUCGGCUAACUUCGUGCCAGCAGCCGCGGUAAGACGAAGGAUGCAAGCGUUAUCCGGAUUCAUUGGGUUUAAAGGGUGCGUAGGCGGACUGAUAAGUCAGUGGUGAAAUCUCAUAGCUUAACUAUGGAACUGCCAUUGAUACUGUUAGUCUAGAGUACAGUUGCCGUUGGCGGAAUAUGACAUGUAGUGGUGAAAUACUUAGAUAUGUCAUAGAACACCGAUUGCGAAGGCAGCUAACGAAGCUGUAACUGACGCUGAGGCACGAAAGUGCGGGGAUCAAACAGGAUUAGAUACCCUUGUAGUCC